UAGGGAAUCUUCGGCAAUGGGGGCAACCCUGACCGAGCAACGCCGCGUGAGUGAAGAAGGUUUUCGGAUCGUAAAGCUCUGUUGUAAGAGAAGAACGUGUGUGAGAGUGGAAAGUUCACACAGUGACGGUAACUUACCAGAAAGGGACGGCUAACUACGUGCCAGCAGCCGCGGUAAUACGUAGGUCCCGAGCGUUGUCCGAAUUGAUUGGGCGUAAAGCGAGCGCAGGCGGUUUAAUAAGUCUGAAGUUAAAGGCAGUGGCUUAACCAUUGUUCGCUUUGGAAACUGUUAAACUUGAGUGCAGAAGGGGAGAGUGGAAUUCCAUGUGUAGCGGUGAAAUGCGUAGAUAUAUGGAGGAACACCGGUGGCGAAAGCGGCUCUCUGGUCUGUAACUGACGCUGAGGCUCGAAAGCGUGGGGAGCAAACAGG
This 429-nucleotide ribosomal RNA is filed under the name bacterium. RNAcentral's name for it is "partial 16S ribosomal RNA". It matches the Rfam family "Bacterial small subunit ribosomal RNA", at positions 355 to 776 of the family's 1533-position model. The record is from RNAcentral.